This 253-nucleotide ribosomal RNA is filed under the name uncultured bacterium. RNAcentral describes it as "partial 16S ribosomal RNA". It matches the Rfam family "Bacterial small subunit ribosomal RNA", at positions 524 to 776 of the family's 1533-position model. The record is from RNAcentral.
UACGUAGGGUGCAGGCGUUAAUCGGAAUUACUGGGCGUAAAGCGUGCGCAGGCGGUUUCUUAAGUCAGAUGUGAAAGCCCCGGGCUUAACCUGGGAACUGCGUUUGAAACUGGGAGACUCGAGUGUGGCAGAGGGGGGUGGAAUUCCACGUGUAGCAGUGAAAUGCGUAGAUAUGUGGAGGAACACCGAUGGCGAGGGCAGCCCCCUGGGUCAACACUGACGCUCAUGCACGAAAGCGUGGGGAGCAAACGGG